Molecule: unclassified non-coding RNA, 344 nt
Filed under: soil metagenome
Description: partial contains 5.8S ribosomal RNA, internal transcribed spacer 2, and large subunit ribosomal RNA
Rfam family: 5.8S ribosomal RNA (bases 1-119)
Source: RNAcentral
GAUGAAGAACGCAGUGAAAUGCGAUACGUAAUGUGAAUUGCAAAUUCAGUGAAUCAUCGAGUCUUUGAACGCACAUUGCGCCCCCUGGUAUUCCGGGGGGCAUGCCUGUCCGAGCGUCAUUGCUGCCCUCAAGCACGGCUUGUGUGUUGGGCCUCCGUCCUCCUCCCGGGGGACGGGCCCGAAAGGCAGCGGCGGCACCGCGUCCGGUCCUCGAGCGUAUGGGGCUUCGUCACCCGCUCUUGUAGGCCCGGCCGGCGCUUGCCGACACAUCAAUCUUUUUUCCAGGUUGACCUCGGAUCAGGUAGGGAUACCCGCUGAACUUAAGCAUAUCAAUAAGCGGAGGA